Molecule: ribosomal RNA, 269 nt
Filed under: uncultured prokaryote
Description: partial 16S ribosomal RNA
Rfam family: Bacterial small subunit ribosomal RNA
Source: RNAcentral
UACGUAGGGGGCAAGCGUUAUCCGGAUUUACUGGGUGUAAAGGGAGCGGAGACGGAACUGCAAGUCUGAUGUGAAAGCCCGGGGCUCAACCGCGGGACUGCAUCGGAUACUGUAGAUCUGGAGUGCCGGAGGGGCAAGCGGAAUUCCUGGUGUAGCGGUGAAAUGCGUAGAUAUCAGGAGGAACACCGGCGGCGAAGGCGGCUUGCUGGACGGCAACUGACGUUGAGGCUCGAAAGCGUGGGGAGCAAACAGGAUUAGAUACCCGUGUA